GCUUCAUGUUUGGAGAGGGGCAAGGUGGGCUUCUGAAAUGGCUAAUGCACUGUUCCCCCAGCCCGAAUGUCUCCUCUUUAGAACUCUUUCUCUGCCCCCAGUUCCCACAUCUCUCUGUCCCGUGUUGUCCUCUGGGUCCAACAGGGACCAUCUCUCAGUUUCUCGGCUCUCGCUUUGGUGUUGGCGGUGACGUGGGGGAUGGCGGGGCUUGUGCUGAGCCUGGGAGCCAGGACAGGGGCCUGGGUACCUAAGGAGCGAGGGAAGAGGGGGUGACAGGUGUAAAGGCUGCCUCUCCGUCCUUGGCGGCUUUUGAGAAUAGGGGCUCCCGCCUUCCUGCUCCCUCAUCCAGUGUGGACAGUAUCCCUCUGCCCUUCCUUCUUUUAGCUCAAAAGCUGGGAAGGAGCAGGGAGAGAAGGGACUUGGAGAAUCCUGUUCACGUAGCUUCUCGGGCCGUGGCCCAUGUGUGUUCACAGGAAGCUUCUAGCCCUGCCUGCCGCUGAGACAGGGCAGCCUCAGAACUGUCGGCAGGAAAGCCAGAUGACUUUGGACCAGGAACUAGGUGCCCAAGGCUGGCCCUUUGCUCUGUGCCUGGGGGCACGCCCCUGCCCUCUCUGGGCCCCAGCUGCCCCAGCCGCAGAGCCAAGAAGCCUGGACUGGCGGAUCUGAAGGCUCUCCUCUGGUUGAUGCUAAUUCUAAGCUUGGGUUUCCUGCAGUUGGUGAUUCUGCGGUCUGUGGCUGAGUUUCCUGAGCCCAGCAGAUGUGGGCACUGUCUGGGUUGCUGUUUUGUCCCUUGGCAUGAAUCUCCAGGGACAUGGCAGCCGCUGGUCGCGGUGUGUGGGUUCAGAUGACACAUCUGGUCCCUCCCCGCGGUGCUUCCUGGUUCCUCCUGCCCUCGGGAGCUAUUUUGCAGCCCCAAGCUCGACCUCACCCAGGGAAGGCUUCCAGCGGGAGAAGCAGUCUCCCAGAAUGUGCAGGGCCGGGCCGGAGUCUAGAAUCCCUGCUUCUCCUUUGCAAAGUCAGCAUCCAUCUUUUUCUGCUCAUCGCGGCCCCAGGAGAGGAGAAGCUGGCCCUCGCCCCAACUUGGAAUUUUCUUUGGCCCCCCCCCCCGCCCCCUACCCCUAAUCCUGCAGAGACAGGUGCAGUAGUUCCAUUUUCACAGGCGACUUUGAAGCCUGGGUUCUUUGAGGCCCCUGCAGUCACCGACCUGCUCCGGCCGCUGGCCCAGGAGGCCCAGGACUCACCACCAAAUCCCGCAGUUCCUCAGCCUGGCUCUGACCUGGGGCCCUAGGGCAGGAGGUGAGCUUGGUGGCUUGGGGCCGGCGGGGAGAGGGGAGCGGGGCCUUCCUCCAGGUCAGCUGACUUCUCUGGCCUCCGCCUGAGCCUCGAUUUGCCUCUCCGGCCCAGUGGGCAGGGGCUGUCGUGCAGCCUGCCCUGGAGGCAUCGCGGUAAAGGGCUUGCGGCCGAGAAUGAGCCAGGGUUAAGCAUGCGGGGCCCGCCAGCUGAGGCGUCCGUCCCCAGGCAUCCAGGGAGAUCUGCGUGCAAGGCUUCCCUCCCACCUCCUCGCCUUUUGGCCUUUUGUUUUGGAGCCAUGGGUGUGGCUUUUGGCCUUAGCUGGCAGUACCAUGGAUGCACGCCCCAGGCACACCGAGUCCACCCCCGGAGACGGUCCAGAGCUGCCAGUCGGAGGCCGCUCUUCUUCCUGGCAGGGGGCUGGACACUGGCCAUUUUUGCCCAAGGUUGCUGGCAGGGGGCAGUUCUGUCCCCUCCUCUGACCGGAUCUCUAGCUGCAGCACCCUGGGAGCCCUGAGCAGCCUGUGGGCCUCGCUCCUCAGCCCCAUGUUGCACCUGAGGCCCACCCCCAUCAGCUGCUGCUCUCUGGGGCUGCCUGAUCAGCCGGGAGCCAGGCUCUCUGUCCCUCUGCUGACCCUUGCUCUCCAGCCCAGGAGCAGGGACCAGCCUUGGGCAGCCCAUCUGCAGUGGCCCUGGUCUCUUUCUCACCGUGUCCGCUGCUCACUCCGUGUUGAUGGUACUUAGAGAACGCCGCGAGUUUGUAGUAUUUCACCAGGCAAUGUUUAGAGUCGUGUCGAAAGGCAAACCUGUGUGUCCUCUUUCUUUUCAUUUUGACAGCCAACUGCCUAGAUGACAGAUGCACCUGGGCUUUCGGGGACAUUGUGUCUUCUCUAGGGGGUUGGGGGAUGGGAAGAGGCAGAAAAAGCCCCACUGCUCACCUAGAGGAAAGCCACCUGAUUCCCAGCGGUUUCAGUGUCUAAGGGAUGGAAGGGAAGGCGGGCACGCCCCCUGGUGGCGAUGAGCCGUGACGGCAUGUGGGGGCCCUGACCUGCCGCAUAGGUGAUUUGAGAGGGGAGGCUGCGGAUGGGGAGGUGAAGAGGGGGCUGUGAUCUCACCCAGACCCUGGGCUUCCUGCCCCACCUUUUGGCAGCAUGUCUCCCAGACGCCUCUCUUCCUGAUCAACCCCGGGGGAUGGCAAGUGAAUUAGCAUCAAAGGCGCUGUGAUGAGAAGCCUCGCCCCACCCUUUUUUAAUAUCUGCGGAAUAAACGCAAUGGUUGAUUUUUGAACGAAUAAAAGGCUUUUGUUGAA
This 2599-nucleotide long non-coding RNA is filed under the name Sus scrofa (pig). Its description in RNAcentral is "lncRNA (ENSSSCG00005007858.1)". Lineage: Eukaryota; Metazoa; Chordata; Mammalia; Artiodactyla; Suidae. The record is from RNAcentral.